CCUACGGGUGGCUGCAGUGAGGAAUAUUGGUCAAUGGACGCAAGCCUGAACCAGCCAUGCCGCGUGCAGGAAGACGGCUCUAUGAGUUGUAAACUGCUUUUGUAUGAGGGUAAACUGCGAUACGCGUACCUUUCUGAACGUAUCCUACGAAUAAGGAUCGGCUAACUCCGUGCCAGCAGCCGCGGUAAUACGGAGGAUUCAAGCGUUAUCCGGAUUUAUUGGGUUUAAAGGGUGCGUAGGCGGUCGGGUAAGUUAGAGGUGAAAUCCCGGGGCUCAACCUCGGAAUUGCAGUUGAUACUGUUAGGCUAGAGAGUAGUAGCGGUAGGCGGAAUGUAGGGUGUAGCGGUGAAAUGCUUAGAGAUCAUGCAGAACACCGAUUGCGAAGGCAGCUUAC
Molecule: ribosomal RNA, 394 nt
Filed under: uncultured bacterium
Lineage: Bacteria
Description: partial 16S ribosomal RNA
Rfam family: Bacterial small subunit ribosomal RNA
Source: RNAcentral